GGACUAAUAGCUCAGUUGGUAGAGCAACGCCCUUUUAAGGCGUGGGUCGAAGGUUCGAGUCCUUCUUAGUUCA
RNAcentral lists this transfer RNA (73 nucleotides) under Fibrobacteraceae bacterium. Its description in RNAcentral is "tRNA-Lys". It matches the Rfam family "tRNA". Rfam says of the family: Transfer RNA (tRNA) molecules are approximately 80 nucleotides in length. Their secondary structure includes four short double-helical elements and three loops (D, anti-codon, and T loops). Further hydrogen bonds mediate the characteristic L-shaped molecular structure. tRNAs have two regions of fundamental functional importance: the anti-codon, which is responsible for specific mRNA codon recognition, and the 3' end, to which the tRNAs corresponding amino acid is attached (by aminoacyl-tRNA synthetases). tRNAs cope with the degeneracy of the genetic code in two manners: having more than one tRNA (with a specific anti-codon) for a particular amino acid; and 'wobble' base-pairing, i.e. permitting non-standard base-pairing at the 3rd anti-codon position. The record is from RNAcentral. Lineage: Bacteria; Pseudomonadati; Fibrobacterota; Fibrobacteria; Fibrobacterales; Fibrobacteraceae.